UACGUAGGGGGCUAGCGUUGUCCGGAAUCAUUGGGCGUAAAGAGCGUGUAGGCGGCCCGGUAAGUCCGCUGUGAAAGUCGGGGGCUCAACCCUCGAAUGCCGGUGGAUACUGUCGGGCUAGAGUGCGGAAGAGGCGAGUGGAAUUCCUGGUGUAGCGGUGAAAUGCGCAGGUAUCAGGAGGAACACCGAUUGCGAAGGCAGCUCGCUGGGACGUUACUGACGCUGAGACGCGAAAGCGUGGGGAGCAAACAGG
Molecule: ribosomal RNA, 253 nt
Filed under: uncultured bacterium
Lineage: Bacteria
Description: partial 16S ribosomal RNA
Rfam family: Bacterial small subunit ribosomal RNA
Source: RNAcentral